AACUUUUGACAAUGGAUCACUGCGGGUUCCUGCGAUUCACCUUUCCUGCGCAUUCGAAGCCAAGCGUUGUGGUCGAGGCCACUCGCGCCCACACGCCGGGCUUCGUGCACAUCGACGCCGCAGCGCACGAGAUCGUCGGCUACAACCCCGAUCGCAUGGACGCCCAUUUGAUCGACCUGGUACUCCCCCAUUUCAAGGGGUACUUCGUCGUGAAGUUCAGCGCGGGGUUCCGCUCGCACGGUGUGUAUUUAGGCGCGGACGUCCACCGCGGCAUGGGCACCGCGCAAGGCCCGAACGCAGGCGGCUACGUUACAUUUGAGACCUCGAAAGGCCAGGUCGUCGAGGCGAAGGUCGGGACGUCCUUUAUCAGUAUCGAGCAGGCGCGCAGGAAUCUGCACCUGGAGAUUCCGUCGUGGGAUUUCGAACAUGUGCGGGCCCAACUUAAGCAUAUCAAUAAGCGGAGGCU
Molecule: unclassified non-coding RNA, 466 nt
Filed under: uncultured Ascomycota
Lineage: Eukaryota; Fungi; Ascomycota
Description: sequence contains ITS2
Source: RNAcentral